Molecule: long non-coding RNA, 454 nt
Filed under: Mus pahari (shrew mouse)
Lineage: Eukaryota; Metazoa; Chordata; Mammalia; Rodentia; Muridae
Description: lncRNA (MGP_PahariEiJ_G0003879.1)
Source: RNAcentral
AGAUCCUGAAGGCCCAUCAACACCAUCAUAGCCACCUGCUUGAGAGCCACUCAGGAGCAGCAGGACCAAGCCCCACCAGUCUCAGGGAGGGGCCCAUGGGAUACCAUGGUUCAAACUCAGCUCAUUGGGCAUGGAAGUGAGCAAUGUUACCCACUGAGCCAUCUGACUGACCCUUCAUGUAGAGUUCUUACAUUGGUGGGACUUUCUUCGAAAAGACACAAAAUGUCGCAGAGAGUGCAGAGCAGGCAGACUGAAGCUCUGUCAGCAAAUGAAAUCAAAUCAGCCUGACUUGUGAUAUUUACUGGCUUGCAGCAACCCGACCGCAGAUAUGGACCCUGGCUACCAGUGUUUGGUCUAAGGACUGCUUUGUUGUGUGGCGUUCUUGUGGCUCUGGCUAGCUGGUACCCAGGAGACAGGUCCAGCACAUCUCCAAGAGGACAUCCAGAUGACCUAC